UGGGGAAUAUUGGACAAUGGGGGCAACCCUGAUCCAGCCAUGCCGCGUGAAUGAUGAAGGCCUUCGGGUUGUAAAGUUCUUUUGACAGGGACGAUGAUGACGGUACCUGUAGAAUAAGCUCCGGCUAACUUCGUGCCAGCAGCCGCGGUAAUACGAAGGGAGCUAGCGUUGUUCGGAAUUACUGGGCGUAAAGGGCGCGUAGGCGGCUUGACAAGUUGGGUGUGAAAGCCCAGGGCUCAACCCUGGAAUUGCACUCAAGACUGCCUCACUUGAAUUAGGUAGAGGUUGGCGGAAUUCCCAGUGUAGAGGUGAAAUUCGUAGAUAUUGGGAAGAACACCCGUGGCGAAGGCGGCCAACUGGACCGACAUUGACGCUGAGGCGCGAAAGCGUGGGGAUCAAACAGGAUUAGAUACCCGGGUAGUCC
This 424-nucleotide ribosomal RNA is filed under the name uncultured bacterium. Its description in RNAcentral is "bacterial SSU rRNA". It matches the Rfam family "Bacterial small subunit ribosomal RNA", at positions 355 to 796 of the family's 1533-position model. The record is from RNAcentral.